CAGUCGCCGCGGUAAUACGAAGGGUGCAAGCGUUACUCGGAAUUACUGGGCGUAAAGCGUGCGUAGGUGGUUGUUUAAGUCUGCUGUGAAAGCCCUGGGCUCAACCUGGGAAUUGCAGUGGAUACUGGGCAACUAGAGUAAGGUAGAGGAUAGUGGAAUUUCCGGUGUAGCAGUGAAAUGCGUAGAGAUCGGAAGGAACAUCUGUGGCGAAGGCGACUAUCUGGGCCAUUACUGACACUGAGGCACGAAAGCGUGGGGAGCAAACAGGAUUAGAGACCCCGGUAGUCCCUGUCUCUUAUAC
Molecule: ribosomal RNA, 301 nt
Filed under: uncultured bacterium
Lineage: Bacteria
Description: partial 16S ribosomal RNA
Rfam family: Bacterial small subunit ribosomal RNA
Source: RNAcentral